GCCGGGAGAUCUACACAGAGACGGCGUACCGCGACAUUGUAUCGUUGGCAGGCCUCACCGUUUUCAAGAAGCGUGGCACACACACGCACACACACACAAGCACGCACACAUACAAGUAGGCAUAGAGCUAUAGAGCAGCGCACGCCGAGAGGGAGAGACAAGGUUUGAGUUUGACGGAGCUGGUCAGCUGUAGUCGGAGAGGGCUCCUGACCUCCCCACCCCCACCCGCCACCGCCCUCGGCACCCCGGCGACUCAGCGGCUUUCGUUUUUCGUUCAUCACAUCCGUGUAGCGCACACACGCACACACACAAACCUCAACACACAGAGAAAUGGCGGCGGUGUCUACAUCGGCGACUGGCACGGCGAACCCCGUGCCGAGUCGCAGCGAGCUGUGGGCAGACAAGUACAAGCCGCGCUCCAUUGCCGAGAUGUGCUACCCGGUCUGCGCGAACAAGCUAAAGGCGUGGCUGGAGACCUUCACACCGAUCGGUAGCCCCGGCGAUGAUCCGAAGAAGCCGCAUGGCGUUCUCCUGUCCGGGUCUCCAGGUGUGGGCAAGACGACGACAGUGUACGUGGUAGCGCACGAACUCGGCCGCACCGUUGUGGAGUACAACGCGAGCGACUUCCGCAGCCGCAAGUCGCUCAAGGAGAAUGUGUCGGACCUCAUCAGCAACCGCGCCUUUUCCGUGAGCGCGACGUCGUACACGAACGUGAUUCUGUUAAUGGACGAGGUGGACGGCUGCGACAUUGGCGGUGUCGGCGAGGUGAUCGAGAUGCUCAAGUCCACCCGCAUCCCGAUCCUGUGCACGUGCAACGAUCGCUGGCACCCCAAGCUGCGCUCGCUGCUCAACUACGUGGAGGACAUGCGCUUUAGCCACCCACCGUGCAACAUCGUGGCGAACUACCUUUGCGACCGUGUCCUGGCGCGCGAGGGUAUUUCGCUCUCCAAGCCGCUCCUGCAGGAUAUUAUCAAGAACUCCGGCAGCGACAUCCGCAACAUGCUCAACAACCUGCAGCUCUGGUGCCUGAGCCGCACCUCGCUCGAGCAGCGGCAGCUGGCCGAGUGCGCCGCGCAGUCGACGAAGGACAGCGAUGCCGGCCUCUUCGACGCCGCUGAGUACUUCUUGCUGCAGGGCACGUCGCGUGGGGAGCGGCACUCCAUCGCGGAGAUGCAGGCCUGCUACUACAACGCCGACCUAGUCGACAUGUUUGUGCAGGAGAACUACCUGCACUACAACCCGCAGCCGGUGGAUGGGAGGGAUUGGAUGGAGGCUGUCUCACAGGCUGCCACAUCGAUCUCGCGGUCGGACGCGGCGCAGAGCAUCAUGUAUUAUCAACAGAACUGGUCCGUGUCCCGCUUCCACGUCUUGUCCUCCAGCAUUGCCCCAUGUGUGUACACGCGCGGCAAGUACGAGACCUUCAUGACGGGGCAGCAGAAGUUCUUCGACAUGCAGCGACCGGUGAAGUUCCCGACGUGGCUUGGGCACAACUCCUCCGCGAACAAGAAUCGCCGUCUGCUGCGCUGCAUCGCCAUGCAGGCGUCGCACCCGGCGAAGGGCGUGUCAGGGAGCCAAGAGGAUGUGGUGGCGGACUACAUACCGCACGGCUGGGAGCGCCCGCUGACGGCGCCGCUGGCGACGAAGGGGAAGGACGGCGUUGCCGAGGUCAUCGCCUUCAUGGAUCAGUACCACCUCAUGCGCGAUGACUGGGACCUCGUGCAAGCGUUGCCACACUACAAGCACAUGCAGUCGCCGAGCCCCACGACGCCGCCGGCCAACAUCGCCACCGCCGUCAAGAGCGCCUUCACGCGUGAGUUCAACAAGACGCAUCGCUUUGACAGCUUCGCGAAGAGCACGCUGAAGCGCGGCGAUGGGGAGACGCAAGACGACGACGAGGGCGAUCCGGGCAACGGCGCCGGUGGCAAUCGCAAGGCUGGCAAGGUGGUCGCGGACGGCGUGACGGCUGUGAGCGUCACAGGCAGCAGUGACGCUGCUGCCACGAAGAAGAAAGGCAAAGCGGCUGUGGGCGCUGCCACCACAUCGACGACGGCAGCCGCGGCACGCAAGCCACGGGCCAAGAAGAGCGCCCCGGCUGACGGGGCUGCCAGGCCGACGGCGAAGAAGAAGGCCGCCACCAGCUCAACGCGGGCCACGGCCAAGGCAUCGACGGCGAAGACAACAGCAAAGCGAAAACGCGCGCGCGCGGCGUCCUCGGAGAGUGAGACAGAGAGCGUGUCGUCAUCACCAUCGUCGUCCUCCUCCUCAUCUGCGUCCUCUUCGAGCAGCAGCAGUGAUGUCUCCGACAGUGAGUAGAGAAAAGGGCGUUGGAGGCGGUCUGAAGCGUGGCACUCACCCCCCCCCAUCGAAGAGAAGCGUGCCUCAGCUUCAUCGCCGAUUCAGGAAAAAGGUGUGUGUGUGUGUGUGUGUGUGCUUGCCUUCGUCUGUGUACAUGGUGCGAUGACACCUCUUGUCAACUGCCUUCGUCUGUGUCACCGUUGGCCGCGAUGUGGUGUAGUGGAAUGGGGGGGGUGCUGCAAUCGCCCUCUUGGCGUUGAUCUUGUUGCGGGGUGCCGCAGGCAGCAAGCAAAGAAAAGCAAACUACUCUUGGGCGUAACGCUUGAUUCGCAUAGAUUCGACCCGUGCACAGGUACAUGCAUACUCAGA
This 2664-nucleotide unclassified non-coding RNA is filed under the name Leishmania donovani. Its description in RNAcentral is "gene:LdHU3.24.1180(CDS-product:replication_factor _C_subunit_1_putative)". Lineage: Eukaryota; Euglenozoa; Kinetoplastea; Trypanosomatida; Trypanosomatidae. The record is from RNAcentral.